AUAGUACUCCCUCCGUCCGGAAAUACUUGUCAUCAAAAUGGAUAAAAGGAGAUGUAUCUAGUUGUACUUUAGUACUAGGUACAUCCCUUUUUAUCAAUUUUGAUGACAAGUAUUUUCGGAUGGAGGGAGUAUAGA
Non-coding RNA from Triticum urartu, 135 nucleotides. Lineage: Eukaryota; Viridiplantae; Streptophyta; Magnoliopsida; Poales; Poaceae. The record is from Rfam.